This 1472-nucleotide long non-coding RNA is filed under the name Ursus maritimus (polar bear). Its description in RNAcentral is "lncRNA (ENSUMAG00000021720.1)". The record is from RNAcentral. Lineage: Eukaryota; Metazoa; Chordata; Mammalia; Carnivora; Ursidae.
CCGGCCACCACCCCGGAGGACUUUGCCCCUUUGGGCCGAGCAGGUCCCACCCAGCUUCUGAUAACCAGCAGUCCCGGGGGCGGGCAGAGGCCAGUUCCCACAGCGUCCAGUAUCAACACCCUGUUUCCUAACAAUAUUAUCCUUACGGGCUACUCUCUGCUGAGCACUUACUAUGCACCAGGCGCUAUGCCCAGUAUUCCGCAUCAGACCCUCCCCAGAACCCUGUGGAGCAGGCAUAAAUAUCCCCAUAUUACCGAUGAGGAGACGGAGGCUCAGGGAGGAAGUGACGGGGCCGAGGCCAUAGUUGACGAGGACAAAGCUGGGAUCCGAACCCCGAUAUGAUGAAACACACGUGCUUUUAACUGCGAUGCUAUGUCCCGAUGCCCACAGACCCGGUACUAGAGAUCCUCAGGUUGGGAGGGAUAUUGGAGGCCACUCAUUCAGCCAUUCGUGAAGGUCAGAUUCCCAAGGCAGUUUUCCUGCUUGUGUCUUGAAUACCUCUGAGCACAGGAAGCUCGCUGCUUCACGUAAGGCAGACCACGCUGACUCUGGAACUGUCUAUUAGAAGGCUGCUCCUUGUGCACGAGCCUUGCCACCCAGCAGCUGUGCUGUGGAGUCUGAUGGCAGAACGAGGACUUACCACAGCUGCUGUACAGGGACAAGAUGGGAGCACAGCAGACCCGUUUUGUCCCUUCUGCUUCCUAUCCCAGGCCUUUGCAGCUGGCCCCUCGGCCCAUGAGUGUCCCCAGGAGGAGAAACAGCUGGAGAGGGUAGUGUUUAUGGACUAAGCACCCCCCCAGGCCCACCUGGCUUUGGGCUCGGCAUUCACAGACCUGGUCCUCCCCUCUCCUGUCUCCCUCAGUGGCUCCUAGGCCUCUCUACUCUCUGUCCUAUGAACUGGGAAGGCAGGUCCCUUGGGGCAGGGAGAGUUCUGGACAAGAGAAGAAUUCUGGCCUUGCCCACUAUUGCAGCCAGCUCGGCCCUGCCGGCCUCCUUCCGCAGGUGGCCACCCACCACCCACACGCUCUGGUAACUGCUCGGCAUGGCCCGACGGGUCGCGCACGCCCCCACCCCCACCCCCAGACUGCCUGACUCAUGUGGGGAAAGCCCAGCCACUCGCCACUUCCUCCAGUCCUAUCUGCAGAAUCGGACACUCGAUCUGUUGCCAUGUCAGCCACGGAGAGGGGUGUAGCAAUGCUGCGGAAGCCCAAGAGAAGGAGGAUUCUGGGAGAAAGACAUGGGCCAGUGGCGGGUCCGUGAGGUGGGAAAUCAGCCAUGAACACGGAAGGGGGUGCUGAAGAAGCGUGUUUCCCGCACGGAAGCAGAUGUCUGUGACGGAAAACCCCGAAGGGAAGAACACAUCUUUUGGAGUCAGACCUAAGUUCAGGUCCUGGCUCCAUUAUUUUCUAGCUGUGUGGUCUUUGUGAGUUAUUUAACUUCUCUGUACCAAGACCGCCCAACUGUGCCAUGGU